GACGAACGCUGGCGGCGUGCCUAAUACAUGCAAGUUGAGCGCUGAAGGUUGGUACUUGUACCGACUGGAUGAGCAGCGAACGGGUGAGUAACGCGUGGGGAAUCUGCCUUUGAGCGGGGGACAACAUUUGGAAACGAAUGCUAAUACCGCAUAAAAACUUUAAACACAAGUUUUAAGUUUGAAAGAUGCAAUUGCAUCACUCAAAGAUGAUCCCGCGUUGUAUUAGCUAGUUGGUGAGGUAAAGGCUCACCAAGGCGAUGAUACAUAGCCGACCUGAGAGGGUGAUCGGCCACAUUAGGACUGAGACACGGCCCAAACUCCUACGGGAGGCAGCAGUAGGGAAUCUUCGGCAAUGGACGCAAGUCUGACCGAGCAACGCCGCGUGAGUGAAGAAGGUUUUCGGAUCGUAAAACUCUGUUGGUAGAGAAGAACGUUGGUGAGAGUGGAAAGCUCAUCAAGUGACGGUAACUACCCAGACAGGGACGGCUAACUACGU
Molecule: ribosomal RNA, 496 nt
Filed under: uncultured bacterium
Lineage: Bacteria
Description: partial 16S ribosomal RNA
Rfam family: Bacterial small subunit ribosomal RNA
Source: RNAcentral